RNAcentral lists this ribosomal RNA (1092 nucleotides) under Salmonella enterica. RNAcentral describes it as "bacterial SSU rRNA". It matches the Rfam family "Bacterial small subunit ribosomal RNA", at positions 1 to 1082 of the family's 1533-position model. The record is from RNAcentral. Lineage: Bacteria; Pseudomonadati; Pseudomonadota; Gammaproteobacteria; Enterobacterales; Enterobacteriaceae. RNAcentral also lists the same sequence under 1 other name.
AAAUUGAAGAGUUUGAUCAUGGCUCAGAUUGAACGCUGGCGGCAGGCCUAACACAUGCAAGUCGAACGGUAACAGGAAGCAGCUUGCUGCUUCGCUGACGAGUGGCGGACGGGUGAGUAAUGUCUGGGAAACUGCCUGAUGGAGGGGGAUAACUACUGGAAACGGUGGCUAAUACCGCAUAACGUCGCAAGACCAAAGAGGGGGACCUUCGGGCCUCUUGCCAUCAGAUGUGCCCAGAUGGGAUUAGCUUGUUGGUGAGGUAACGGCUCACCAAGGCGACGAUCCCUAGCUGGUCUGAGAGGAUGACCAGCCACACUGGAACUGAGACACGGUCCAGACUCCUACGGGAGGCAGCAGUGGGGAAUAUUGCACAAUGGGCGCAAGCCUGAUGCAGCCAUGCCGCGUGUAUGAAGAAGGCCUUCGGGUUGUAAAGUACUUUCAGCGGGGAGGAAGGUGUUGUGGUUAAUAACCGCAGCAAUUGACGUUACCCGCAGAAGAAGCACCGGCUAACUCCGUGCCAGCAGCCGCGGUAAUACGGAGGGUGCAAGCGUUAAUCGGAAUUACUGGGCGUAAAGCGCACGCAGGCGGUCUGUCAAGUCGGAUGUGAAAUCCCCGGGCUCAACCUGGGAACUGCAUUCGAAACUGGCAGGCUUGAGUCUUGUAGAGGGGGGUAGAAUUCCAGGUGUAGCGGUGAAAUGCGUAGAGAUCUGGAGGAAUACCGGUGGCGAAGGCGGCCCCCUGGACAAAGACUGACGCUCAGGUGCGAAAGCGUGGGGAGCAAACAGGAUUAGAUACCCUGGUAGUCCACGCCGUAAACGAUGUCUACUUGGAGGUUGUGCCCUUGAGGCGUGGCUUCCGGAGCUAACGCGUUAAGUAGACCGCCUGGGGAGUACGGCCGCAAGGUUAAAACUCAAAUGAAUUGACGGGGGCCCGCACAAGCGGUGGAGCAUGUGGUUUAAUUCGAUGCAACGCGAAGAACCUUACCUGGUCUUGACAUCCACAGAACUUUCCAGAGAUGGAUUGGUGCCUUCGGGAACUGUGAGACAGGUGCUGCAUGGCUGUCGUCAGCUCGUGUUGUGAAAUGUUGGGUUA